GUCUGCCCCCGGGCAGGCCUAACCUCCCACCCGUGAAUACCUGACCAACGUUGCUUCGGCGGUGCGCCCCCCCCGGGGGUAGCCGCCGGAGACCACACCGAACCUCCUGUCUUUAGUGUUGUCUGAGCUUGAUAGCAAACCUAUUAAAACUUUCAACAAUGGAUCUCUUGGUUCCGGCAUCGAUGAAGAACGCAGCGAACUGCGAUAAGUAAUGUGAAUUGCAGAAUUCAGUGAAUCAUCGAGUCUUUGAACGCACAUUGCGCCCCCUGGCAUUCCGGGGGGCAUGCCUGUCCGAGCGUCAUUGCUGCCCUUCAAGCCCGGCUUGUGUGUUGGGUCGUCGUCCCCCCCGGGGGACGGGCCCGAAAGGCAGCGGCGGCACCGCGUCCGGUCCUCGAGCGUAUGGGGCUUUGUCACCCGCUCGAUUAGGGCCGGCCGGGCGCCAGCCGGCGUCUCCAACCUUCUAUUUUACCAGGUUGACCUCGGAUCAGGUAGGGAUACCCGCUGAACUUAAGCAUAUCAAUAAGCGGAGGAA
RNAcentral lists this ribosomal RNA (532 nucleotides) under Aspergillus calidoustus. RNAcentral describes it as "eukaryotic LSU rRNA". The stretch from base 148 to 301 matches the Rfam family "5.8S ribosomal RNA". The record is from RNAcentral. Lineage: Eukaryota; Fungi; Ascomycota; Eurotiomycetes; Eurotiales; Aspergillaceae.